Bubalus bubalis (water buffalo) is the source of this 567-nucleotide long non-coding RNA. RefSeq lists it as uncharacterized. The record is from RefSeq and is a predicted model, not a curated record. The transcript has 4 exons. Lineage: Eukaryota; Metazoa; Chordata; Mammalia; Artiodactyla; Bovidae.
GGAAACAUGGAGAUAGCCAUUUACAAGCCAAGGAAAAAGGUUUGGUCCACAUCCUUCCCUCACAGGCCACAGAAGAAGCCAGCCCUGUUGGUACCUUGAUCUUGGACUUCUAGCCUCUAGAAUGGGAUUCCAUCUCUGCCAAGGAUGUGACAAAGUUUUGGAGGCUAGAGUGCCAUCUUGCUCCAUCUCACACCCUCAGCGAAGAAUUCUUAACACACUAUUGAUCACCAGCUGGAAAGGAGUGGAUGUGGCAUUGAUCUUGGAGGAAAAAGGACGUCUUCUUUAUCACUGCACCACCUGGGAAGACCAUUCCAAUAGAGAAAACAGUCUGCCUUGUCUUCAUCCCAGUGGGCUGGAUACACAGUGUCUGGCUGUUUGCCUGCGUUGCUGGCUCACCACUUUGAUGGGAACUCACCAGGACUUCUCAUGAAUAUCCACUGAAGAAUUCAAAGAGAUUGCCUUGCCUGGUCACAGAUCUCCUUAUAUGUCCCUACAUCAGAGUCACGUCUCUGCCCACCUCCCUGCACCAGCUACUGCAGACCAGAGCAUGAGGAAGAAGAACUCAUG